RNAcentral lists this ribosomal RNA (444 nucleotides) under uncultured bacterium. RNAcentral's name for it is "partial 16S ribosomal RNA". It matches the Rfam family "Bacterial small subunit ribosomal RNA", at positions 354 to 796 of the family's 1533-position model. The record is from RNAcentral.
GUAGGGAAUAUUGGGCAAUGGUCGGAAGACUGACCCAGCCAUGCCGCGUGCAGGAAGACGGCCCUCUGGGUUGUAAACUGCUUUUAUCUGGGAAGAAAAAGGCCAUGCGUGGCAAAUUGCCGGUACCAGAUGAAUAAGCACCGGCUAACUCCGUGCCAGCAGCCGCGGUAAUACGGAGGGUGCGAGCGUUGUCCGGAUUUAUUGGGUUUAAAGGGUGCGUAGGCGGCUGCUUAAGUCAGCGGUGAAAGACUUCGGCUUAACCGGAGCAGUGCCGUUGAUACUGGUUGGCUUGAGUGUCGGAGGGGUACAUGGAAUUGAUGGUGUAGCGGUGAAAUGCAUAGAUACCAUCAGGAACACCGAUAGCGAAGGCAUUGUACUGGCCGACAACUGACGCUGAUGCACGAAAGUGUGGGGAUCGAACAGGAUUAGAUACCCGAGUAGUCC